CUUUUGGAUUAGUCUAUAAUUCUCUCAAGAUCAACAUCAGUGGAAAUAUCAGGCUUUGUGUAAAGGUUGUGCCCUUUAGGUUUCUGGAGGCAGAAUGCCUAGGGAGGUUAUUGUGUUUUGGGAUGAAAAAGAAGAGUAUUUUGUGGCCAUAAAGCAAAGGCAGUUCUAGUUCAAGCAGCAGCAAUAUUAAUGGGUUUGUUUUGCUUUUCCUUUGUAGAUACUCUGAGUAAUUAAUCAUCAGGGGAUCCAACAGUCUUCUUUGUCUGUCCUGUACCACACAUCAAUCUACAAAAGUGCUUAUGGUCCUUGAUGGGAUACUCAUCUUCACUAACCCUCUUGAUUUGUUUGAUGAGCAUCUUCUGGGCAGCAGGUGCUCCCCAAACAGAAAGCAGUGAGCAGUACAUGUAGGAAUCCUCAUGAAAUCAUAUGACUAGUGUAAAGGAGACAGACUGUAGAUGCAUUGUUAAUGAAAAUCCUUGUGUUUCAGGUAAGUGCUGUGUGGGAAAAAAUGAACCAAGGAAGUGGCUAGCAAGUGCUGGGGUGGGGAAGUGAUGCUGUUUUGAAUGACAUGGUUAAGGAUGAUUUACUGGGAAAUAGCAUUUGAUAUGAAAAGAGCCUGCAUGGUCUUCAGGAUGAUAGUUCAGGUGGAAGACAGAGAAGGUGGGAAACCCCCGUUGUGCAUUCUGUGAUGUUAUGUUCAGAUCCCCUUUAGUACAGAGUCCCUCAUUUGUUCAGAGGCUUGUGGAUUGUGCAACUGAUGGCACUGCAGUCUGGACACGCAUCUCAGGGGGAAAAAAAGAGCUUCUAACUUCAAAGUCACAGUAUCCCCACUGUGUCAUCAAAUGAAUCAAGUGGAUAGCUAGUCCACAUAGGAGGCAACCAUGGGGUUCCCUUGCUUUCAAGUAUGUCUAAAGGUAGCCAGGGCCUAUGUCUGAACAGUGUUUCCCAGACUUGUAUCCAGGUGUCACCUAAAUACCUUCUCUUUUUAGACAUUCAGAGAAAAAGCUAUUUACUUGUCUAUUCCAGCUGUCAAUAGCCAUCCUCAUUCAGUGGUUAUACCAUUCUUUUAUCUUCAAAAACAGCAACAGUGGGCCAAGUGUUCUCAUAUUGUUUCCCAGGCCUGACUCUUCUUCCACCAUCUUCUAUGUAUCUGUGAUCCCACUGAUCUACCCAUGUAACCAAGCUGACCUCCUUAAAAUGUAAAACUAACUGAAUAGUAUUCUUAAUUCCACCUGUAGCCUUAGUUCUCCUUUGUGAC
This 1258-nucleotide long non-coding RNA is filed under the name Cricetulus griseus (Chinese hamster). RNAcentral's name for it is "lncRNA (ENSCGRG00015029883.1)". The record is from RNAcentral. Lineage: Eukaryota; Metazoa; Chordata; Mammalia; Rodentia; Cricetidae.